CCAUUGUUGGCUCCCAGCAACCAGUGCAAGCUGCACAGCCUGCCUGCUUUCCCCAGGCAAGAGGGAAUCACUCCUCUCUCCAUCUCUCUCCUCUUGCAGGACCUCGUCAGAAGUUGCCAUGCCUGGAACCAUAAGAGGGGAAAAGGAUACAAUAAUCAACUGGAGUGAAAUCACCAUCAGACUUAAAAGAUGGCUGCAUCUUCUAAAUUCCUAAUUCCUUGGGACAAGGAAAGAAUUCCUUAGGCACUAUGCAAAGAAAAGAAGUACUUUCAGGGAAAAUGGUACUCUCAGGAGCAGCCCACUAAUCAUCAGACUUCAAGUCAGAGUUGAAAGAAUGCCAGCCUGAGAUGUUAUCCUAGAAGGAAGGGAUACAGAACCCAUAACUGAGACAAGAGACAUUGGAUUGCUGUCUUAAGGAGCAACCCCAAUUCAUUUCAGACAAAGCUCUUCCCAUUCCACAGAUUCCUAUUUUACUCUGGGAGGGGAACACCAGAAAUCAGGAAAUGGCAGCUGCACUUUUUACUACUUGGUCCCAGAUGCCAGUGACUUUUGAGGAUAUGGCCAUUUACCUUUCAAGGGAGGAGUGGAGGCAGCUGGAUCUUGUUCAGAGGGAUUUCUACCGAGAUAUUGUGCAAGAGAAAAAUGUCCUGGCCCUAGAAGCUGUAAAACAUGGAAAAAGUAGGGUUUAUUCCUCCAUUGGAAGGUGCUGGUGAUGCAAAGAUGUAUGGAACUGGAUUGGGAAGAGUCCAUGGGGAUGUCCCACAAGCCAUGGGACAGGAAGACAGGAGGGAGAGCUCAGAGGAAAGUCAGCAGCUUGAUCUCCUGAAGAAGAGCCAGAAGACACUGGUCCUAUUUGAUAAAGAUCUUUAAAAACUGAUGGAUAUUCUUGUUCUGAAGAAACCCUGCAUCCCUGAAAAAUAUUGCCAAAAGAGCAAUGGGGACGGCCCAGCCCUAGGAGGGGAGAAACUUGGACCAGAACCAGAACUCAUUGCUCCCCAGCUUAUCCUUCCCACUAAAAAAACAUACACAUGUGAAGACCCAAAUAUUGGCAAAGGGUUCAGCUGGCACUCUCAUCUGGUGAACCACCAGCGCAUUUAUACAGUCUGUGUUCAGACUGUGGCAAGUGCUUCAGCCGAAGCUCCCACCUCUUCCAGCACUGGAUCAUCCACACUGUCUGCUGGAAAAGCUUUAGCCAUCACUCCACACUGGUACAACACUAGCACAUCCACACUGAGGAGAAGCCUUAUUUGUGUGACCAAUGUGCCAAGUGCUUCACCCGGCGUUCAGACUUGGUGACCCAUCAGGGUACCCACACAAGUGCCAAGCCUCAUUGAUGCCCAGAAUGCAACAAGUGUUUCACCCAGAGCUCAGCCCUCAUCAGUGGACCCAUACGGAAGUCAAGCCCUACCCCUGUCCAGUGUGCGGCAAGCACUUCAGCCAGUGCUCAAACCUCACUGCUCACCAGUGUACCCAUACAGGGGAGAAGGCUUACGCUUGUAGUGAUUGUGGCAAGAGCUUCAGUCAUAGCUCCCACCUCACUGCACACCAGCGAACUCAUCGUGGUGUCUGGCCCUAUCCCUGUCCCCUAUGCCGCAAGAGCUUUAGCCGGCAUUCUAAUCUUCUUCGACAUUAGAAGAUUCACACAGUUCCCAAGGCCUGGCUGUGCUGGUGUUGGAGACAAGGGGGAAUUCUCACCAACCCCAAACCUACUCCUCCCUAACAAACCAAGGUGUGAGAAUGGUGUGAGAAUAUGGACUCCAGAGCAAAUGCUGAUGAGCUUAUUCUCAGGAUAGGUCUAAUCCAAGGGCCAGAGGCAGCGAGAGAGGGAAAAGAUGAGAAAGAGGACAGCCACAUGGAAUCAGAAAGGGAGAGGGGUAGAUCAUUAUGGGGAUCAGGGUGGGAGUUGACAGAGAUGGGCUUGGGAAUAGGAAUGUGAAAGAGGAGCUAGGGCUAGAAAGAGUGGUAAAUCUUCUAAUUAAAAGUCUUUGAGGCAGCUAGGUGGUGCAAUGGAUAGAUGAAGUCAGGAGGACCUGAAUUCAAAUGUGACUCAGGCUCUUAACACUUUCUGGCUGUGUGACCCUGGGCAAGUCAUUUUACCCCAAUUGCCUCAGGAAAAAAAAUUUUAAAUAAUUUUUUAUCUUAAAAAAAAAGCCUUUGAAACCAAUCUAUGACUCCAGCCAAUGUGGUCCCAACCUACUGUUAAGUCUGGAAGAUAAAAGGAUGUACUUUGGGGCUGACAUUGUACUGGGCUGACCUGAAAUCAUGUCUUAUGCAGCCAUCCUCUCUCAAAGUACAGUCACUUUCUUCUUCUCUCUAGACUCUUUCCUUUUUAGCCAAAGGCACAUCUUGGUAAGGCCUCCAUGCAAGACAAGGAAGUCCUGCAAAGAUAGAGAGAAAGAGUCUUUGGGAUAAGAGAUACCAAAUACCAUAGUUAUUCCCCUAAGAUAAAUUCAUCACUAGGAAGAAAUCCUCCCUCCCCCCAAUCAUCACCUACCUGGAUAUUUCUCUGAUCUCUGGAAUUCUCUGAUUAAGGUCUUAUAAAAUAAAAAUGGUCAGGAAGCCAAAUAACUCAGUGUAACUCAACUUCACUUUAAUACUAAAAAUGAGGACAAGGUUUAAGUUUUAACUCUGAAAUGGUAAAUGGCUAUGUGACCCUGAGAGUUAUUCUCUGUGCCUUGGUGAUCAUUCAUCCCAUUUCCCUCACUGACUUUAGCAAAAUCCAGAGACAAGGAGAUAACAGCUCACAUUUUUUAGAUGGCUCUAAGUUUUAUGUCACUUUUUUCAGUCAAGCAAUACAGGAGUUAUUAUCCUUGUCUUGCAGCUGAAGAAAAUGCAGGUUUUAUCCUCAGUCAAAUAGCUAAUAUUACAUUCAGGACUGCAAGAGAAUUUUUCUGACUAACUCCUCUGUUCUGUCCACUGCACUAGAGAACCUCAUGCAGACAUCUCAGAUUUCAGUCUUCCCUUGCACCUUUCCCAGCCUUUUCUUCUCAAUGUGUCUGCCCUCUGGUGUUCAGACGCAGAAUUGCGCUGAGGGUGAAAUUCCGAGGACAGUCUGUACCUUGGACAGCAGCAUUUACUUUACCUGCCCUCGGGCCCAAGAAAAGCGAGUCAUCCUCAGGAUAUGGGGUUUCUGCUUUCUAUUCCCAGUUGUGUUUCCCUGCUUCUGGAGAAUCCCCCAUUCUCAAACGUGAAACCCCCCUCCCCAACAUUUUUUAAUAAUAUAGUGUAGGGAAAAGAGCAUGGAACUUGGUGUUCAAACCAAGCUUAGACUCCUGGCUCUCUUAUUUACUAGGGUCAGAACCUUGGUAAAAUUUUUGUAUUUUUAAACUUAUGUUCCCACAUGUAAAAUGGAGAUAUCAUUUUACUACUUAGACAAUAGAUUUGCUAUUAGGAAAGUAAUAUAUACAUGUAUAUGUGUGUAUUUAUAUGCACAUGUAUGUUACAUAUGACUAUAUAUAUAUAUAUAUAUACACACAUGUGUAUAGGUGGAUAGAUGCUCUUGCUCUCACUCUGUAUUGUUUAGUCCUGUAAUCUCAUCACUGUAGGGAACUCUUAGAGAGGAAACUUCCUUUACUAAUGAAGAUUCACAUUCUAUAAAUCUAGUUUUAGAGAACUGCCCAAAAUACUGAGAGAUUAAGUACUUACUUAUGGUCACACAACUAUUUACAUUUCAAAGAUACAAGUUAAACCUAGUCCUCAUUUUUAUUCUUAAAAUGAAAUUGAGUUAUGCUGAGUUGACAACUCAGCUUCCUGACCAUUUUUAUUUUAUUAAGUUCUUACUUAUUCAGAGAACACCUUGCAAAAUGCCUUGAAUACUUCCCGAAUUUUCCAGGGACAAACAGAACAAGAGAGCCACAAAAAUGGAAGAGGAAAUUUUAAAAUAAUGACAUUAAAAAUAACUAACAUUUAUAUAGUCUUUAUUAUGUCCCAGGCAUAGUGCUAAUAACUUAGAGGCCAUCUGAGAAGAAUGGGUCCGGACUGAGCAGUUCCCAUUCUUCUGUACUGGUGUUGCUAAGCUAACUGCAACUAUUUCCUAGAAAUAGAAUUAUGUGUGCCCUGAAAUACCCCUCAUGUCCCUCAAGGUCUUGGCUCAGAGGAUACAGUACAGCUAGUUCUAAGACAGUCAAGGCAUUGCUAGCUAUACAGCUUUAGGAAAGACACAUUUUCUUUGGACUUCAGCCUGCUCUAUAAAUGAUGAAGGUGGACUAUGUGAUCUCUGAAGUCCUUUCCAGACCUAAUAUCAUAUGUGUAUAUAACAUUUAUAUUUAUUGUUUUAUUGACAUUUAUUUCUUAGUAUUUCUCCCCUCCCACCAAGUCAAUAAGCAUUUAUUUACUUCCUAAGCCAGGCACUAUGCUAAGCACUGGGGAUGAAAAGAAAGUAAAAAUGUUCCUGCUCUCACGGAGUUCAGCAUGUAAUGGGGGAGACAACAUACAAAUAACUAUGUACAGACAAAGUAUCUACAAGAUAAAUUCGAGAUCGUCAUCAGAGGGAAGACAGUAGUGUUAAGGGAGAUAAGUUUCCUGUGGAAGGUAUGAUUUAACCUGGGAGAACAGAGCUCAUGAUAAAUAGGCUGUCUCUUGUCAAAAAGGGAAAAAAAAAUUUAAGCUAAUCCAAACAGUAAAGCAAUAAGAUCUGAGCCCAAAAUUUGUUUCUGUAGUACUUCUGCAAGUAUUUUGAAAAAGAAAGGUGUUUUAGCAUACCAUAUUCUAAAUAUAAAUAUAAAAUUUUAAGUUUUAAUGCCCUUUUCUCUGUAAUCUCUUCCAGCUCUAGCUUUACAUAUAAUGCUAUAUGUCUAUUAGCGUGGUAGCAACCUUAAAAGGAGGCAAACCUGCUCCAAAACUCCCUGAAUGGGACACUCUCCCCUUAGCCAUGUAUAUAGCUACCUACAAGAUGACACUGCUAUCUAUUCUGCCAUCCUAUUCUGUUCCUAUCUCUAUUUCUAUCAGCUAGGUGUUGUAAUGGAUAGAAUCAAGAUGACCUAAAUCCAAGUAUGAUCUCAAACAUUUAUUAGUUGUGUGAUUCUAAACAAGACAUUUAACCUCUGUCUACCUUAGUUUCCUUAAGUAUAAAAUGGGGAUAAUAAUGGCACUCACCUCAUAAGGUUAUAAAUGUAUAUAUAUGUAUAUAUAUAUAUACAUAUAUGUAUAAAUAUAUAUACAUAUAUAUAUAUAUAUAUAUAUAUAUAAAUAAAAUGAGAACUGGACAAGAUGGUCUUUGAAGUUAAUAGCAGUGAUGGAAUUAUGAUCCUAUGAAUAAGGCAGGUUCUUGUCCACCAUGUUGUACUUUCUUUCCAAGAAGUAAAUGUGAAGUUCAAAGAAAAAAAAGUGUAUAAAAUGCUUUUUAUGUGCAUAAAAAUGUGUAUAAAGCCUUAACAUGUUCUAUAAGUCCUAAUGAUAAUUAUUAUAAUUAAUCAUAUAAUAUUAUAAUUAUUACAUGUCAUUAAUAUGUUAUUACAUAUAGUUAUAAUUAAUAAUGAUAAUCCUCACUUUAGUCAAUUCCCCACUGUGGAUCUGAAUUUUUUCUUUCCCUUGGGAUUUCUACUUUCUAAUAUUUAUCAUAAGAAGAAAUAAAGACAUUUCUAAAGAUUGCCUUCCAACUUCUUUUCUUCCUCAGACUUGAUCUCUCUAGGCUCCAGUCUACUUGGUAGCAUGGUGUAAUCAGAUUUCAAGGUCAGCUGCUUUCAUGGGAUAUUAUAUAAUGGAUAAAAUACUUGGAAUCAUACUAAAGUAGGAUAUGGGAUCCAGAGCUAUAAGGAAUCUUAGAAACA
Molecule: long non-coding RNA, 5768 nt
Filed under: Sarcophilus harrisii (Tasmanian devil)
Lineage: Eukaryota; Metazoa; Chordata; Mammalia; Dasyuromorphia; Dasyuridae
Description: lncRNA (ENSSHAG00000025870.1)
Source: RNAcentral